GGCUGGUCCGAGUGAAGCUUACGACUAAUUAAUCACAUCCAGUUACACGUUCCUUUGUUCCUUCUCCUUUGAUCUUUAAGAGGUUAACCUUCA
This 93-nucleotide small RNA is filed under the name Procavia capensis (Cape rock hyrax). RNAcentral's name for it is "Y RNA (ENSPCAG00000020270.1)". The record is from RNAcentral. Lineage: Eukaryota; Metazoa; Chordata; Mammalia; Hyracoidea; Procaviidae.